GAAAUGAUGAGCUGAGAGGGCAGCUAGGAAACAGCUGUUUGCAGAGGCUUUGAUGGGGCCUUAGUCAAACAUGGAGACCUGUGGAACAGAAGUUGUUUCUCUUAAAGUAAGAUGUUGACAGUCACUGUCUUGCCAGUGAAGGAAAUCCCGUGCACAAGGGAGGGUAAUGCCAUUAAGUGUAGGAUCAGACCCUCCUGUUUCUGAUACUUUUAAGAGUAUGUGGGCAUGGCCCUUUCUUUUAGUAGGAUUGUCCUGGUCAGCGGUAAAUCAAGUGUAUCUUUUCUAGCAGAGAAGCUCUUCCCCAAAUUGGGGUCCUCAUCUGAUCAUUAAUAUUGAUACGUAUCAUUUCCCUAUCUUCAUAUUUCCAUUGAAAGAAAAUCAGUGGAAUCAAAUUUUAAAAUAUUACCUGUAAUAAUUUAGUCCUAUUUCCCCUCUUCAAAUGCAGAGCAUGACUAUUACAUGAAUACAGUUUGCGCUAUAAUGAUACAACAACAGCAAACAAAAGGAAAUCAGUGGAGUCAAACAAAAUUGUAAGCUAAGUUUUAAAGUAGAGAUAGACAUUUUGAAAACAUCUUUAAUGACUCAGCUGCCUUUUGACAAAUGUUUGUGGUGUUUUGCGAAAGAAGCCAGGUUAUUUAUUUAAAAGCACGCAAACUCUGCUAGCUGAACCCCAUUGUUUAACAAUAAAUGAUGCUUUUGCUGAUAAAUGAUUCUUUUUAUUCAGACUAGCAAAUGAAAUAGGAGAUGAGGUCUGAAGGCAGAUGAACAUUGAGCUGCCUAAUGUUUCCACCUACUAUAAUAUGUUUA
RNAcentral lists this long non-coding RNA (807 nucleotides) under Bos taurus (domestic cattle). RNAcentral's name for it is "long non-coding RNA NONBTAT009755". The record is from RNAcentral. Lineage: Eukaryota; Metazoa; Chordata; Mammalia; Artiodactyla; Bovidae.